UGAGGAGGGACAGAGCCACAUUGGAGA
This 27-nucleotide non-coding RNA is filed under the name Rattus norvegicus (Norway rat). Lineage: Eukaryota; Metazoa; Chordata; Mammalia; Rodentia; Muridae. The record is from RNAcentral.